AGUGAACGCUGGCGGUAGGCCUAACACAUGCAAGUCGAACGGCAGCACAGGAUAGCUUUCCCUCCGGGUGGCGCGUCGCGGACGGGUGUGGCAUACAUCGGAAUCUGCUCAGUCGUGGGGGAUAACGUAGGGAAACUUACGCUAAUACCGCUUACGACCUUAGGGAGAAAGAGGGGGAUCGCAAGACCCAUCGCGAUCGGAUGAGCCGAUGUCGGCUUAGUUAGUUGGCGGGGUAAUGGCCCACCAAGGCGACGAUCCGUAGCCGGUCGGAGAGGAUGAUCAGCCACACUGGAACGGAGACACGGUCCAGACUCCUACGGGAGGCGGCAGUGGGGAAUAUUGGACAAUGGGCGCAAGCCUGAUCCAGCCAUACCGCGUGGGGGAAGAAGGCCUUCGGGUUGUAAAGCCCGUUUGUUGGGAAAGAAAUCGUUCAGGCUAAUACCCUGGGAGGAUGACGGUACCCAAAGAAUAAGCGCCGGCUAACUUCGUG
RNAcentral lists this ribosomal RNA (490 nucleotides) under uncultured bacterium. RNAcentral's name for it is "partial 16S ribosomal RNA". It matches the Rfam family "Bacterial small subunit ribosomal RNA", at positions 29 to 507 of the family's 1533-position model. The record is from RNAcentral.